Molecule: microRNA, 20 nt
Filed under: Rattus norvegicus (Norway rat)
Lineage: Eukaryota; Metazoa; Chordata; Mammalia; Rodentia; Muridae
Description: rno-miR-216b-3p
Gene: rno-miR-216b-3p
Source: miRBase by way of RNAcentral
CACACUUACUUGUAGAGAUU